GAGACCUUGAUCUCAAGAUUCCUUACUUUUUGCUCAUGAUUAUGAGAGUAUUAGAGCUGAACAUAAAAAUUUAAACAAAAUAUGUUACAUUGAACAAUUAGGACAUGGUCACAUAGUAGAUAACCUAAAAUUAAACAAAGCGUAUAGACUAUAAUGAAAUUAUAAUCUGAAAUACACAUACCUAAAAAUUAAUUCCAUAAUGAAAUAAGAAGCUAAACUAUAACCACC
Molecule: long non-coding RNA, 228 nt
Filed under: Elaeis guineensis (African oil palm)
Lineage: Eukaryota; Viridiplantae; Streptophyta; Magnoliopsida; Arecales; Arecaceae
Description: long non-coding RNA (EGUI_LNC024484)
Source: RNAcentral